CAUUGCGCAUGCUCACAUUCCCGGGCUUGGCAGUGCUGUUUUUUCGUUCUUUGUGAAACCGGGUCGGUGGUGAGAUCGGGAUGGGGAGUAGGUUCUCGCCCCCUUGGACGGGGAGCCGGAGACGGAUUAUUCUCUGCGGGGCAACACCAACAAUUUUCCUUCGUUAGACAUGCGGUGAGAAGUUUAUUUGAAGAAAAACCCCCACUGGAAGCAAACCACAGCUGAAGACUAGGGAACAGCAACAAGUGAAUUGGCCCGAGGACUGAGAACAGCAACUGGAGAGAACAACUUUUCAUCAAGAGACUCAGAUUUCCCAGUGAUUCAGUCAGGAGAAAGUUUGGUCUGAAAUGGCUAACACGAGUGGACAUUAGUUUUAAGGUGCUUGGAAAUAGAUACCGAGGGGAUGUCAGAGAUACGUUGUUAUCAUGAGUCCCAAAGAAGGGUCAUGGCCGGAAAUGUUGAUUCCCAUCCAUAAAUGCUGCCUGACCUGCUGAACUUCUCCAGCACUUUGUGUGAAUUUCUCUUGAUUUCUUGCAUCUGCAGGUUCUCCUGUUUCCCAGAUAUUUAUAUGUUUAGUGAAAUAACAAGCCAGUAGUGGGGUUGUGUGGCUCUGUUGGUAAAAUAUUAAAUAAAAUCAUUAGAUAAGAGGAGGCCAUAGGGUUGGGUAGUGUAGAAUCUGUGGGUAGAAAUAAGGAACAGCAAAUGUACAAAAAAAUCCUUGAAUGGAAUUGUAUAGUGGCCCCAAAACAUCAUGUGGUCCACAAUUUACAAUGAGAGAUAGAAAAUGAGUGCCAAAAGAGCAAUGUUACAAUAUUCAUGGGGGAUUGUCAUGCAGGUGAUUAGGAAAAUCAGGAUGGUGUUGGUCUCAAGAGGAGGAAUUCCUAGAUUGCCUACAAGAUGCUUUUUUAGAGCAGCUCGUGGUUGAGCCCACUUGGGGAUCAGCUAUUCUGGAUUGGGUGAUGUAACAAACCGGAAUUAAUUAGGUCACUUAAUUUCAAGGAACCCUUUGGGACAAGUGAUCUUAAUAUGAUCAAAUUCACCCCGACAUUAGAGAAGGAGAAACUAAUGUCAGAUAUGAAUAAAAAUAUAAUUUGAGAGGCCUGAGAGAAAAUUUGGUCAAAAUUGAUUUGGAAAGAACACGGGCAGGGAUGAAAACAAAGCAGCAAUGGCUGGAAUUUCUGGAAGUGACGGGAUAUACACAUCACAAAGAGGAAGUAGUAUUCUAAAGGUAAGGUGACAAAACCGUAGCUGCUAAGAGAAACCAAAGACAACAUAAAGACGAAAGAGGGCACAGAACAAAAGUCACCAGGCAGUUAGAGAAUUGGGAAGUUUUAAAAAUGAACAGAAUGCAACUAAAAUCAUUAAGAAGGAAAAGAUGGAAUACUUAGGUGAGCUAGCCAGUAAUAUUAAAGAGGAUACCAUUUUUAAUUUCAGGUACAUAUAAUGUAAAAGUGAAACAGAAAUGGAUAUCAAGCCACUGGAGAAUGAUGCUGGAGAGGGAAUAAUGGGGAGAGGGUGAAAGGUGAUGGCUGAUGAACUGAAUAAGUAUCGUACUCUUUGGAAGACACUGGCAGGAGUAUGGAAGUCCCAGAUGUCAGUGGUCAGAAUGUGCAAUGUCACGUUACUCAGGAGUAAGUAGAAGGAAAGGCAAUGGGCUGUGAUUUUUUUUAAUGGAAGGAGAAAUCGAUAUUCAUGCCUUCAGGUUGGAGCUAUGCAGUUGGAAUAUGAUGUGUUUCUCUUCAACCCUGAGGGUGUCAAGUGGAUCAACUCCUGCCAUUGCUAUUCUGCCAUCAUCCCUGCCAGUGUAGCCUUCCAAUCAAUUUUGGUAAGCUCUUCUCCAGUGCCUCUGUAGUUCCCCUCACUCCACUAAUAAUGAUGCAUCUUGUUUUACCUUUCCCCUCUCAAAGUGAAGGGUGAAUUCAGUCAUGAUAUUAUCAUUAUCACCUGCUCCCUUUACCAAAAGCUCCCCAAUCAAAUUUGGUUCAUUCCAGAAUUAACUUUUCCGCAGUGGGCACAAUUGCAAAGGAAAGGUAGGUCACAUCUGGGAUUUUCAAUUUAGCGGGCGAUUUCCUCUGACGUAUUGGGAAAUCGUGUGCGAGGCUAGUUACAGCAAUGGCUUCUCAUUGUUGUAUUUGCCUUCUGCCGGGUGAGAUAUUUUUUAAGAGAUCAUCAGCUCUUAAACCAGCAUGGAUGUAGAGCAUGCAAGGGUGCCGGCUGGAUUCGAACUCAGGACCUCCCGCCACUGAUGCCACUACGCCACCAGCCAGCUGCACAAUCCCAAGCUGUUCUGAAAGGCAUCUCAUUGGUAUUUUCCAAAUUCCCUCUCUUGAGAUCAAGCACCAAUCUAAUUUUCACAAUCAACCUUCACCCAUCCGACUCAUGGACUAUUUGUCUCUCUUCCAUCGGGGGUAGAUAUGCAGCGUCCUCACCAGGACUACCAGCCUCCGGGACAGCUACUUUUCCCAAGCAGUAAAGCUGAUAAAUAUCUCUACCCUCUAACCCAGCCUUCCGCAACACCAAACACCUCUGCUUUAUCGUUUCCUGUCUGUCAUCUUAAAUGCAGGCAUCCUAUGCCGAGCAUCACUUUAUGAACAUACCAUCAAUCCGUGCACAGUAUAUAAGCCGUGGAUAUAUGUUGUUACUGUUGUGUUUCUGUGUUGCAUUGGAACCGGAGUAAUAAUUAUUUCGACCUCAUUUACAUGUGUCUGCUGGAAAUGGAAUUAAACAACCCUGAAUCUUGAAUAAACAUUUCAGCAGGCUGAAGCGUCACAUUUUUGUCUCUCAGCGUUAUUGCGGCAGAGCGCCACCUGGUGACAAUGGAGUCCACUGUUACGAAUGUGCCACAACUCUGAGGGGCCGAAGGGUACAAAGUAGCCCCCUCAUUUUUGAGAAUCGCAAGAUCGCUAUUAAUUCGGGUCUGGGACCCAGGAAAUGAGAGAGAGACGUCCAGAAUACACACGGUUUGGAAUGUGUCCUGGCCUCCACAAGACAAAGCCACGGAUAACGGCCAUUGUCUCUGGGAGACGGAAUUGUGUAUUGAGUACUGAACUAUUCAUUGAAGCCCUCAGGGAAUGACCAGAGUGGGCUGGUUGAGGGAUUGCAUCAUCCCAACCUGACUGACAUCUGAAUCCCCGUGAGUAAGGAUAAAAGAGGGUCUGGGGAACAACCCCUUCAGACGCACCAGGAGAAACGCUAGGAAUCCCGUGACAGCGUUUAAUAGCGACAGCCGGUGGGGCUCGCGUGCGUCCUUUCCCUUGCCUGGGUUGGCGGGCUCACCACGGAAGAACGGCUUAGCUAAACGACUGGCUACACCAACGGAACUCUCGAUGGAUCGAAAUCAUAAAAAGGAAAAGCUGGCAAGUUUCUAAAAAUCUCUCUCUUGACUCCAACCAAAGGCUGCAGCCUGAAUGAACUGAGUGAGUUUUAUAUUUCCAUCGGACAAUACAUUAUCCCCUAGACAACGAAAGAGCUAUUUCUUAAUGAUUAUUAUUAUACCCGCACUUUUAGAUUUAGUAUUGACGACGUAUAUUAUCUGUAUGUUUGCAUUGAUAUUAUUUUUGUGUAUUUUUUUCUAAUAAAUACUGUUAAAAAUAGUA
Molecule: RNA transcript, 3596 nt
Organism: Hypanus sabinus (Atlantic stingray)
Lineage: Eukaryota; Metazoa; Chordata; Chondrichthyes; Myliobatiformes; Dasyatidae
Gene name: gastrula zinc finger protein XlCGF57.1-like
Exons: 4
Source: RefSeq, a predicted model, not a curated record